GUCGACGCUUGUUAAGCGUGCAAGUUGCACGAUAGAGAUUGGAGUGACGGCGCGAAAAGACUCCAGCGCUCACCUAUCAUGCUCCAAAGCCUGUUGUUCUUGGGAAAUCAAUAUCUGAAAGGUGCAAGGAUUUCACCCAGAGCUUCAGGCAUCGCUGGCUACUCAUUCAACGUGUGUUUGACCAGAUUCAAUUGGAAGCACAUGGUUGCUGAGAAAUGAGCUGGGAGAAGUGACCCCUUUAACCUCUAAAGUUUCUGAAAGGAAGAAAAAGCAGGAAAGUGGGAUCUCGUUGGCAUGAGGAGAUAGUGUGUGUGUGGGAUUGGUGUGGUGGGGGAAAUUGGGGAGGUGUUGGUCAGUCAAGUGGGAAAAGGCCUCAGUUUUUCAUUUCAUCAAGCAAUAAAACCCCCAAGCCCUUGUGGCCUUUAUCUGUGCUGUGAUCUAAGUACAUUAUAAGGCUGAAACUCAAUGUUGAGAAAGCAGCUGGAGGAAGUGAUGAUUACUACAGAAAGUCCAGGCAAAGUAAUGAGAAAGUAGCACCGGAUACCAUCAAAACCAAUUAAAUUCAUCCA
This is a long non-coding RNA of Sinocyclocheilus grahami, 569 nucleotides long. RefSeq lists it as uncharacterized. The record is from RefSeq and is a predicted model, not a curated record. NCBI's taxonomy places the organism in Eukaryota, Metazoa, Chordata, Actinopteri, Cypriniformes, Cyprinidae. The transcript has 3 exons.